UCACGCCGCGUGAAUGAAGAAGGCCUUAGGGUUGUAAAGUUCUUUUAUCCAAGAGCAAAGUGUGUAAGUAAUAUGUAGCAUAUAUGAGAGUAUUGGAGGAAUAAGCACCGGCUAACUACGUGCCAGCAGCCGCGGUAAUACGUAGGGUGCGAGCGUUAAUCGGAAUUACUGGGCGUAAAGGGUGCGUAGGCGGAUACUCAAGUUAGAUGUGAAAUACCUGGGCUUAACCUAGGAGGUGCAUUUAAGACUGGGAGUCUAGAGUUUGUCAGAGGGUGGUAGAAUUCCAAGUGUAGCAGUGAAAUGCGUAGAGAUUUGGAGGAAUACCGGUGGCGAAGGCGGCCACCUGGGAUAGAACUGACGCUGAGGCACGAAAGCGUGGGGAUCAAACAGGAUUAGAUACCCUGGUAGUCCACGCCCUAAACGAUGUCUACUUGCUGUUGGGGGGUAAGAGCCUUAGUAGCGAAGCAAACGCGAGAAGUAGACCGCCUGGGGAGUACGGUCGCAAGAUUUAAACUCACAGGAAUUGACGGGGACCCGCACAAGCGGUGGAUGCUGUGGAUUAAUUCGAUGCCACGCGAA
Molecule: ribosomal RNA, 579 nt
Filed under: uncultured bacterium
Lineage: Bacteria
Description: bacterial SSU rRNA
Rfam family: Bacterial small subunit ribosomal RNA
Source: RNAcentral